This 241-nucleotide unclassified non-coding RNA is filed under the name Hevea brasiliensis (rubber tree). Lineage: Eukaryota; Viridiplantae; Streptophyta; Magnoliopsida; Malpighiales; Euphorbiaceae. The record is from RNAcentral.
GUUGCAAUAAAAUGCAUGGAUAGAGCAAUCAGUACUCAAAUUUAAAAAAAAAAUGCAGAAUAUGAAAUGUCUAGAUCCUUAAAACAUAAUCCUUGAGGCACAUUGUCAGUUGAAAUCCUUAAUGGGAAUGAGUUCACAAGAUGAUCUUCAACAUCUCAUUCACUAAUUAGAGGGUAAAUUAUACCAAGUUCCACUGUUCCAAAACCUUAACGUUCACUCCAGCAGUAAUUUCCAAAGUAAG